GUGGCAAAAUGCGAGUUUGGAUUUGGGUUUUAGUGAAUAUGUUUAAGUUACUGACUUACUCUAAUUUACUUACAGACAGUAUCCCAUAAUUUAAAUUCCCAUCUGGUAAAUUAUUAAGUAAAGUACAUGCGACAUUUGUGGGUGUGGUGGGGUGUGUUGUGGCAUGGAUGUGUGGGGUGUGUGUGUGUGUGGAGCUGUGUAUUUGGAGGGUUGGGAUGGGCAGAGGGAGUGUCUAGGAAAGUCCAGUUUCUACUGCCAUUCAGUCGUUUUUUUUUUUUUUUUUUUUUUUUUUUUUUUUUUUUUUCCUGAGGCGGAGUUUUACUUUCGUUGCCCAGGCUAGAGUGCAAUGGUGUGAUCUCGGCUCACAGCAACCUCCACUUCACAGGUUCAAGUAAUUCUGCUGCCUCAGUCUCCCGAGUUAUAGGCGCCAACCACCAUGCCUGGCCAACUUUGUUUUUGUAUUUUUAGUAGAGAUGGGGUUUCAUCAUAUUGGCCAGGCUGGUCUCAAACUCCUGGCCUCAGGUGAUCCACCCACCUCGGCCUCUCAAAGUGCUGGGAUUACAGACGUGAUCCACCCACUUUGGCCUCCCAAAGUGCUGAGAUUACAGGCGUUAGCCACUGCACCCAGCCCCAAAAAACUAUUUUUAAAUGAACAUAUGAAAAUUGUAUAUGUUUAUCGCAUACAUGAUAGUUUAAAAUAUGUAUACAUUGUGGAAUGGCUAUAUUGAGCUAAUUACCACAUGCAUUACCUCACAUACUUUUUUUUUUGUGGUGAGAAUGUUUAAAAUCUCUACAUUUAAGAUUUAAGAAAGACUCUAAUUUUAAAUAAGAAUCCUGAGAAUUUAUACAGUAAGUGGUCAUUGGACCACACCUUUACGUUAAUAUAUUUGUUUCCUACUUCUUAGUGCUACGUAUUUCAUAAUUUCAAAAGCAGAAUAAAUAAUACUGAUAAUUUAAAAAGUCUACUCUUUCAGCAAUUUUCAAGAAUACAAUACGUUGUUGUUAACUAUAGUCACCAUGUUGUACAAUAGAUCUCUGGAAAUUAUUCCUCCUGUAUAAUUGAAACUUUGUACUCUGACCAUCAUCUCUCCCUCCCACUUCCCUCCAGUUCCCGGCAACCACCAUUCUACUUUCCACUUCUGAGUUCAACUCUUUUCGAUUCUACACUUAACUCAAAUCAUGCGGUAUUUGUCUCUCUGUGCUUGGCUUAUUUAACUUAACAUAAUGCCCUCCAGGUUCAUUGUCACAAAUGACAUAAUUUCCCUUUUCAUUUUAUUUUACUUUUAAUUUAAUUUUGUUUUUUGAGAUGGAGUUUCGCUCUGUCACCCAGGCUGGAGGGCAGUGGCGCAAUCUCAGCUCACUGCAAUCUCCACCUCCCAGGUUCAAGUUAUUCUCCUGCCUCAGCCCCCCAUGUAGCUGGGAUUACAGGUGCCCGUCACCACGCUCGGCUAUUUUUUGUGUUUUUAGUAGAGAUGGGGUUUCUCUCUGUUGGCCAGGCUGGUCUUGAACUCCUGAUCUCAGGUGAUCUGCUCCCUUUGGCCUUCCAAAUUGCUGGGAUUACAGGUGUGAGCCACCAGGCCCGGCCUAAUUUCCCUUUGUAAAGCCUGAAUGGCAUUCCAUUGUGUCUGUAUAGCAUGAUUUCUUUAUUCAUUCAUCUGUUGAUGGGCACUUAGGUUGUUUCCAUAGCUUGGCUAUUGUGACUAGUGGGCCAAUAAACACGGGAGUACAGAUAUCUCUUCGACUUGCUGAUUUUAUUUCCUUUGGAUAUAUACCCAGAAGUGAGACUGCUGGAUCAAAUAAUCAUUCUAUUUUUCAUUUUUUGAGGAACCUCCAUACUGUUCUUCAUGAUGGCUGUAGUAAUUUACAGUCCCAUCAACAGUGUGCAAGGGUGCCCUUUUCUCCACAACCUCUCCAAUACUUGUUAUCUUUUGUCUUACUGAUAAUAGCCAUUCUAAUGGGUGUAAAGUAAUAUUGCAUUGUGGUUUGAAUUUGCACUUCCCUAAUGAUCAGUGAUGUUGAACAUGUUUUCAUAUAUCUGAAGACCAAUUAUGUAUCUUUUUCUGAAAAAGAUCUAUUCAGGUCUUUUGCUUAUUCUUUUAGUUGAGUUAUUUGUUUUCUUGCUAUUGAGUUGUUUGAGUUCCUUACACAUUUUGGAUAUUAACCUCUUAUCAGAUGGGACUUUGCAAAUAUUUUCUCCCAUUCCAUAGAUUGUCUCAUCACUCUGUUGAUUGUUUCCUUUGCUGUGCAGAAGCUUGGUAGUUAUUGCCUGUGCUUCUGGGAUCAUAUGCACAAAAAUCAUUGCCAGACUAAUGUCAUGCAGUUUUUCCCUUAUUAUUAUUAUUUUUUUCUAGUCAUUUUACAGUUUUAGGUCUGUGUUUAAGUCUCUAAUUCAUCUUGAAUUGAUUUUGGGUAUGGUGUGAGAUAAGGAUCUAAUUUCAUUCUUCUGCAUGUGGAUACCCAGUUCUACCAACACCAUUGAUAUAGUUUGGAUAUGUGUACCCUCUAAAUCUCACGUUGAAAUGU
Molecule: long non-coding RNA, 2523 nt
Filed under: Papio anubis (olive baboon)
Lineage: Eukaryota; Metazoa; Chordata; Mammalia; Primates; Cercopithecidae
Description: lncRNA (ENSPANG00000051420.1)
Source: RNAcentral